This is a long non-coding RNA of Canis lupus familiaris (dog), 695 nucleotides long. RefSeq lists it as uncharacterized. NCBI's taxonomy places the organism in Eukaryota, Metazoa, Chordata, Mammalia, Carnivora, Canidae. The transcript has 2 exons. The record is from RefSeq and is a predicted model, not a curated record.
CUAGGAACUACCCCACCCUGUUGUUCCCAAGAGAACAAAUGUACACUUGAUAGCCAAGCAGGUGGCAUGGGUUGUGGCAAUAAACAUGUCCUUUCCUGUAAGGGAGCAGUGGACGAGGUUUAUGGAUCCAUGAGCUUUCCUGUGGGCAAGCCAUUGUGUCCAGUUAAAAUUGUAACUGAAAACAUGCGUCUCUCCCAAGUUCUCGAUGAUUCCACCCAUGCAUAGCCCAAAGUCCCUGAGCACUGCUCCCACCGUCGAUUCGUCUGACCACGAGCACGACCAGCUUCUGGGAUGAAAAAUAGCAUAGGGACCACUAAAAGUCGGGGUCCUUAAAACAUGAUACAUUUCAUAUCUUCAGGACAGCUUUGUGUGUGAAGAUGGAUGAUCACGAUACAUGAUUCAAGGCAAAUAUGAAUUUUUCUGACUACAAGCAAGAUUUUUAUUUCUUCAAAAAUACUUACGAUGGGAAAAUCCAUUAAUUAGAUUCCAAUAGAGCAACUGGGAAAACAAGCAAAGUUUUACAGAAGCUUUCAUUGCUUCACAGAAAAUAAACAUCUCUUAGCAUACUGCAGGCUCCAUAAAAUUGUUAGCUUAGAUUUUGGCUCUUUUUCUACAUGAACGUAACGGUCCAUGAACUCAUAUUUGGAAUCCCGAACAAUUACAUAACUUAUUAAAUCUUGCCAAGAUCAGUACUA